CAAUCCUCGAACCCCUCCGGGGGGUCGGCGUUGGGGAUCGGGAACCCCUCAGACGGGAUCCCGGCCCCGAAAUACAGUGGCGGUCUCGCCGCAGCCUCUCCUGCGCAGUAGUUUGCACAACUCGCACCGGGAGCGCGGCGCGUCCACGUCCGUAAAACACCCAACUUCUGAAA
RNAcentral lists this unclassified non-coding RNA (173 nucleotides) under uncultured Trichoderma. Its description in RNAcentral is "sequence contains ITS2". The record is from RNAcentral. Lineage: Eukaryota; Fungi; Ascomycota; Sordariomycetes; Hypocreales; Hypocreaceae.